CAGCAGCCGCGGUAAUACGUAGGUGGCAAGCGUUGUCCGGAAUUAUUGGGCGUAAAGCGCGCGCAGGCGGUUUCUUAAGUCUGAUGUGAAAGCCCCCGGCUUAACCGGGGAGGGUCAUUGGAAACUGAGAGACUUAGAGUGCAGAAGAGGAGAGUGGAAUUCCACGUGUAGCGGUGAAAUGCGUAGAGAUGUGGAGGAACACCAGUGGCGAAGGCGACUCUCUGGCCUGUAACUGACGCUGAGGAGCGAAAGCGUGGGGAGCGAACAGGAUUAGAUACCCCCGUAGUCCCUGUCUCUUAUA
RNAcentral lists this ribosomal RNA (301 nucleotides) under uncultured bacterium. RNAcentral's name for it is "partial 16S ribosomal RNA". It matches the Rfam family "Bacterial small subunit ribosomal RNA", at positions 509 to 808 of the family's 1533-position model. The record is from RNAcentral.